AUGGCUGCUUCUCCUCCAGUGCAAGACACAAACACAUCCAGAGAGAGGGAACAAGAGGCCAGGGCCAGCACACUGAGGACAGGCCUCUGCCUGGGACCAUGGCCUGGCCCUUCAGGGUCUCCGACACUCACCAGGAUGAAAGCAGCCAUGGGGUGUGGGUGGAGACUUAGGGUCCUGGGUUCUCCAGUGCCGGUACCAGCAUGGAGACUUAGGGUCCUGGGUUCUCCAGUGCCGGUACCAGCAUGGCCCUGCAUCCUCUCCAAGGGUUCUCACCCCCAACUCCACACCCCUGGACCCCCUCAGCCAAGGCUUCAAACAGCGUUCUUCAUAGAAAUGGUCCAGGCAGCUAUAGACACUUCACUGACCUUGCUGAGGAUGGCCCACAGAAGUGCAAGUCCUGGGACGCGGGGUGGUUUCUUCCCACUUGAAAAGCUAGAAAUGUGGCCAGGGGUAUGGCGGCCCAUGGUCUGCAGGAGGCCGGGGUCAGCAGGAUCGUCGGGCCACAUAGAGCCUGGCUCUGAGUCCCACAGCUUUGUCGAGGAUGAGGCCCCGCCAUGAAAAAACUCCCCCAGCAGAGAACGGGAACAAACAUUCCUGGGGAGAAACCAGGUUUUGCAAGGGCCAGCCAGGCCUGGGCAGGUGGGGCAGGGAUACAGAGGCUACAGGGGUUGGGGCACUGUCUCCCUCUGUGGCUUCUGUCUCCCUCUAACUGUGCCCCUUCCCCCACUGUGGUUGUGGAAGCUCCCCAGGAGGGCCUGGCCUCGCUGACAGAUGCACCAGGGACCCCAGCAGCCCAGAUCCUGCAAGGCAACUUCCCACAACACAACACAGUCCCAGUUGCUGACUCUGGAGGUUUCAACGGGUGGGUGUGGGUGGCAGAACCUGCUGUCCCUCUUGGCACUGGGUCCGUGUAUAUGAGCCCCUCACCCAAAGUCACUGAGGGGCAGAGACCUGGGUGGGACCCCUUGGGGUGGGGAGGGAGAAAUGGUUCCAAGAGGGUGGGGGGUGUGGCCUGGCAGCUGGAGGUACUCUAGUGGCCGGGCACGGUGACUCUUGGGCAGGUGCCUGUCCAUGGGCAGUUUGCUCCACUGCCCACUGCUCCAAUUGUUCUAGGCCCUUCCCUUGGCACUGGGCCAGUGUGGAGCCGAGGCCAGCAUUGAUGUUCAAUCUGCCUAGACUAUAAUUUGAAGAUUUUGUUUUCUAAGAAUUUUUUAUUUAUUUAAGAAGGAGGGAGAGAAAGAGAGCGAGCGAGUGAGCAAGUGAGCGAGAGCACAAGGAUGAAGCUGGAAACCAGAGUGGAGCCUGGAUGGAAACCCCAGGUCUCAUCCUGGUGCUCUCACUGCUGGGCCCAAAGAUUGCCCAAGCAGUUUACACACACUGCAUCAUGGGUCUAAUUAAAUGCAUCAUGGGUCUACUCAUGUGUAUGAAAAUAGGGAAGUAGAGUUUAGAAUACCUUGGCAACUGAAACAUCAUACUGUCCUUAGCUAAGAUCUUAGAUAACAUAAAAGAUUUGGGCAAGGUUCAUCUGCCAGUGUCCUUGUCCCACUGUGGUAUGUUC
Molecule: long non-coding RNA, 1558 nt
Organism: Oryctolagus cuniculus (rabbit)
Lineage: Eukaryota; Metazoa; Chordata; Mammalia; Lagomorpha; Leporidae
Source: Ensembl